Long non-coding RNA from Phascolarctos cinereus (koala), 514 nucleotides. The record is from Ensembl. NCBI's taxonomy places the organism in Eukaryota, Metazoa, Chordata, Mammalia, Diprotodontia, Phascolarctidae.
AUGGAAUCGUACUGGAAAAAGCCUCUUGCUUUCCUUUUUCUAUUGUUCCGUGAUGAAGUGUUUGUUUAAUGAAUGAAAUGCUGCCUUUUAAUGAUGGUCCAAAGCCAUUUGCAACUUGGAAGAGCUGUUCUCCUUCAUCAACACUUACGGUGAUUCAAACCAGGCGAGGUGAAGUUCUGUGCCCGAAAUUCACAUGUAAGAAACUAUUGAAAAUCCCUAAAGUGUAAAGAAUAGUGACCAUUUGUCCUUUCUAUAGAUGCCUUCAGGAUUGGGGUCAGGGUAAGCACAUUAAGUCAUUUAUCUUCUAGGGAGGAGAUAUAUUAUAUAACUCUGUGGAUCUUGUGCAACACAGGAUGUUUGCCAAAGAAUUUAUAGAACCUAGAGUAAUAGUAGCAUUACAGAAUUAUGGACACCUUGGAUCCAAAAUUUAGAUUUUUAAGAGAUCUCAAAGGCCAUAUGAUCCAACCUCUCCUUGCUCUUCCUACCUAAAACAUAUACACACAUAUCUAUAGAG